UACGUAGGGUGCAAGCGUUAAUCGGAAUUACUAGGCGUAAAGCGUGCGCAGGCGGUUUUGUAAGUCUGAUGUGAAAUCCCCGGGCUCAACCUGGGAAUUGCAUUGGAGACUGCAAGGCUAGAAUCUGGCAGAGGGGGGUAGAAUUCCACGUGUAGCAGUGAAAUGCGUAGAGAUGUGGAGGAACACCGAUGGCGAAGGCAGCCCCCUGGGUCAAGAUUGACGCUCAUGCACGAAAGCGUGGGGAGCAAACAGG
Molecule: ribosomal RNA, 253 nt
Filed under: uncultured bacterium
Lineage: Bacteria
Description: partial 16S ribosomal RNA
Rfam family: Bacterial small subunit ribosomal RNA
Source: RNAcentral